UUGCUUGGUUUGGCAGCACAUAUACCAAAACUAGAAUGGUAUAGAGAAAAUUAGCAUGGCCUGUCUGCAAGGAUGACAAAAAAAAUAUAUGAGACUGUGAAACUAUUU
This is a small nuclear RNA of Protopterus annectens (West African lungfish), 108 nucleotides long. Lineage: Eukaryota; Metazoa; Chordata; Ceratodontiformes; Protopteridae. The record is from RefSeq and is a predicted model, not a curated record.